Molecule: long non-coding RNA, 415 nt
Organism: Oncorhynchus tshawytscha (Chinook salmon)
Lineage: Eukaryota; Metazoa; Chordata; Actinopteri; Salmoniformes; Salmonidae
Source: Ensembl
GUACUGAGGUGCUGAGGUACUGAGGUACUGAGGUGCUGAGGUACUGAGGUGCUGAGGUACUGAGGUGCUGAGGUGCUGAGGUACUGAGGUACUGAGGUGCUGAGGUACUGAGGUGCUGAGGUACUGAGGUACUGAGGAACUGAGGUGCUGAGGUACUGAGGUGCUGAGGUACUGAGGUGCUGAGGUACUGAGGUGCUGAGGAACUGAGGUACUGAGGAACUGAGGAACUGAGGUACUGAGGAACUGAGGUACUGAGGUGCUGAGGUACUGAGGUACUGAGGUGCUGAGGUAUUGAGGUACUGAGGUACUGAGGCACUGAGGUGCUGAGGUACUGAGGUGAAUCCAGAUGUUCUUGAAUGAUGAUGUCUUCUGUAGGAUGGAAAUAGGCUGUAAUGAGUAGCAUACUAGAAACUAG